GUACUCGCUUCGGCGGCACAUACACUAAAAUUGGAACGAUACAGAGAAGAUUAGCAUGGCACCUGCACAAAGAUGACACGCAAGAAAAUGCAAUCCGAAAACAAAGG
This is a small nuclear RNA of Schistocerca serialis cubense, 107 nucleotides long. The record is from RefSeq and is a predicted model, not a curated record. Lineage: Eukaryota; Metazoa; Arthropoda; Insecta; Orthoptera; Acrididae.